Molecule: ribosomal RNA, 486 nt
Filed under: uncultured Propionibacterium sp.
Lineage: Bacteria; Bacillati; Actinomycetota; Actinomycetes; Propionibacteriales; Propionibacteriaceae
Description: partial 16S ribosomal RNA
Source: RNAcentral
CACGUAGUUAGCCGGUGCUUCUUUACCCAUUACCGUCACUCACGCCUCGUCACAGGCGAAAGCGGUUUACAACCCGAAGGCCGUCAUCCCGCACGCGGCGUUGCUGCAUCAGGCUUCCGCCCAUUGUGCAAUAUUCCCCACUGCUGCCUCCCGUAGGAGUCUGGGCCGUAUCUCAGUCCCAAUGUGGCCGGUCACCCUCUCAGGCCGGCUACCCGUCAAAGCCUUGGUAAGCCACUACCCCACAACAAGCUGAUAAGCCGCGAGUCCAUCCCCAACCGCCGAAACUUUCCAACCCCCACCAUGCAGCAGGAGCUCCUAUCCGGUAUUAGCCCCAGUUUCCUGAAGUUAUCCCAAAGUCAAGGGCAGGUUACUCACGUGUUACUCACCCGUUCGCCACUCGAGCACCCCACAAAAGCAGGGCCUUUCCGUUCGACUUGCAUGUGUUAAGCACGCCGCCAGCGUCGUCCUGAGCCAGGAUCAAACUCU